RNAcentral lists this ribosomal RNA (252 nucleotides) under uncultured bacterium. Its description in RNAcentral is "partial 16S ribosomal RNA". It matches the Rfam family "Bacterial small subunit ribosomal RNA", at positions 524 to 776 of the family's 1533-position model. The record is from RNAcentral.
UACGGAGGGUGCAAGCGUUAUCCGGAUUCACUGGGUUUAAAGGGAGCGCAGGCGGAUUUGUAAGUCAGUGGUGAAGGCUUAAGCUUAACUUGGGAACUGCCAUUGAUACUAUAAGUCUUGAAUGUUGUUGAGGUUUGCGGAAUGGGUCAUGGUAGCGGUGAAAUGCAUAGAUAUGACCGGAACACCUAUUGCGAAGGCAGCAGGCUAAACAAAUAUUGACGCUGAGGCUCGAAAGCGUGGGGAUCAAACAGG